Dreissena polymorpha is the source of this 890-nucleotide long non-coding RNA. RefSeq lists it as uncharacterized. NCBI's taxonomy places the organism in Eukaryota, Metazoa, Mollusca, Bivalvia, Myida, Dreissenidae. The transcript has 6 exons. The record is from RefSeq and is a predicted model, not a curated record.
GCCAAUCUUGAUAACAGCAGUCCAUUUAGCACAGGGAAAUCAACAACUGGCUACUCGAGCCAAGAAUUAUAAGAAUUGAUUGGGUCAAUAUUGACCACAACUGACCAUUUCGGACAAUACUACGCAACUGACAAUUAUGGAAAAUACUGACCACAAUUGACCAUUUCGGACAAUACUAACUAAAACCUGACCAUUAUGGUGGAAGUCGGCUCAAAGAACCUCGUCGGCAUGGCCUUAUAACGGAUUCAGAAUCUGGAGCGGAAUCUGAUUCGGUUCCUUACCCGGUGCUGAAUUCUGUUGAACAGCCAAGGAAUGGGGCUCAUGCAACGGACUCCAGGAAACGACCAGUUCGAUUGAAGACUAAGCAUUCAGAAAAUCAUCCAAAAGAUCAGUACCAUUUCGAUGAUUCUGACCAAGAUCCUGAUUACAAAGAUGAUCAAGCUGAUUCCAGCGACUCAGAUUCCAGCUACUCAGAUGGAGAACCAGCCGUGAAGAAGCGCAAGAGAAAUCCGAAGAAGAAGUGGACAGAUGAAGAGAAGGCAUCACUGAAGCUGUUAGUGCUUAAGGCCUUUAGAGAGAAGCAACCACCCACUAAAUCUGACAUUACAAGGCUAUUUAAAAAAAAAAUAUUGUGAAAGGAAUGCCCUGGUUAAGCAUAAAGCAUCAAGUGUGGGCCAUGGCCCAACAACAAUUAAAGCAGGCAAUGACAGUGAAAUCACCUAGUAUGUGUAAGUAAGGAUGAACAUACAUGUACAAGCCUGAGAAACUAUAGAUGUGUUAUGAUAUUUUAAAAUUGGUUGUGUGUAAUCAUACUGAUGUAUCAGGUGUGGAAAUUGCAGUGAUAGUAUAGUACACAUGGAUCCUCAUAUUGAAUUAAAUCUUGAAUCCAU